Molecule: transfer RNA, 76 nt
Filed under: uncultured Gammaproteobacteria bacterium
Lineage: Bacteria; Pseudomonadati; Pseudomonadota; Gammaproteobacteria
Description: tRNA-Ile
Rfam family: tRNA
About the family: Transfer RNA (tRNA) molecules are approximately 80 nucleotides in length.
Source: RNAcentral
GGUCUGUAGCUCAGUUGGUUAGAGCGCAUCCCUGAUAAGGCUGAGGUCGGAAGUUCAAGUCUUCCCAGACCCACCA